Molecule: ribosomal RNA, 116 nt
Filed under: Cycloclasticus sp. symbiont of Poecilosclerida sp. M
Lineage: Bacteria; Pseudomonadati; Pseudomonadota; Gammaproteobacteria; Thiotrichales; Piscirickettsiaceae
Source: RNAcentral
UCUGGUAGCCAUAGCGAAUGUGUCCCACCCGAUCCCAUCCCGAACUCGGAAGUGAAACCAUUCAGCGCCGAUGAUAGUGUGGGGUUUCCCUAUGCGAAAGUAGGACACUGCCAGAC